UGGGGAAUAUUGGACAAUGGGGGGAACCAUGAUCCAGCCAUGCCGCGUGUGUGAAGAAGGCCUUAUGGUUGUAAAGCACUUUAAGCGAGGAGGAGGGUACUGGUAUUAAUACUACCAGGUACUGGACGUUACUCGCAGAAUAAGCACCGGCUAACUCUGUGCCAGCAGCCGCGGUAAUACAGAGGGUGCGAGCGUUAAUCGGAUUUACUGGGCGUAAAGCGCGCGUAGGUGGUUCGUUAAGUUGAAUGUGAAAGCCCCGGGCUCAACCUGGGAACUGCAUCCAAGACUGGCGGGCUAGAGUAGGGCAGAGGGUGGUGGAAUUUCCUGUGUAGCGGUGAAAUGCGUAGAUAUAGGAAGGAACACCAGUGGCGAAGGCGACCACCUGGGCUCAUACUGACACUGAGGUGCGAAAGCGUGGGGAGCAAACAGG
RNAcentral lists this ribosomal RNA (430 nucleotides) under Pseudomonadota bacterium. RNAcentral describes it as "Proteobacteria bacterium partial 16S ribosomal RNA". It matches the Rfam family "Bacterial small subunit ribosomal RNA", at positions 355 to 776 of the family's 1533-position model. The record is from RNAcentral. Lineage: Bacteria; Pseudomonadati; Pseudomonadota.